RNAcentral lists this ribosomal RNA (465 nucleotides) under uncultured bacterium. RNAcentral's name for it is "partial 16S ribosomal RNA". It matches the Rfam family "Bacterial small subunit ribosomal RNA", at positions 28 to 507 of the family's 1533-position model. The record is from RNAcentral.
GACGAACGCUGGCGGCGUGCUUAACACAUGCAAGUCGAACGGAAAGGCCCCUUUUGGGGUACUCGAGUGGCGGACGGGUGAGUAACACGUGAGUAACCUGCCCUUGACUUCGGGAGAACUUCAUGAAACUGGGGCUAAUACCGGCUAGGAAUCCUUGCUGCAUGGUGGGGGUUGGAAAGCUUCGGCGGGUUUGGAUGGACUCGCGGCUUAUCAGCUUGUUGGUGGGGUAGUGGCUUACCAAGGCUUUGACGGGUAGCCGGCCUGAGAGGGCGACCGGCCACAUUGGGACUGAGAUACGGCCCAGACUCCUAAGGGAGGCAGCAGGGGGGAAUAUUGCCCCAGGGGCGGAAGCCCGAUGCCGCCACGCCGCGUGCGGGAUGACGGGCUUCGGGUUGUAAAACGCCUUCCGCAGGGGAGAAGCUUGUGGUGACGGUACCUGCAGAAGAAGCACCGGCUAACUACGUG